CACUGACAGAUGCAUCUUGUGGAGAUAAAAUUUCCCAAGAUUCUCUUCUCUCCUCUUGCUCACAGGAGUCCUGGUCUGGAAUAUUCCACAUCUGCUCUCACUUUGCCAUGGGCACCCGGACCCUCUGCUGUGUGGCCCUUUGUGUCCUGGUAGCCAAGCACACCAAUGCUGGGGUCAUCCAGAAACCCAGACACAAGGUGACAGAGAUAGGACAAGCAGUGACUCUGGAAUGUGAGCCAAUUUCAAGCCACAACACUCUUUUCUGGUACAAACAGACAUUGGUACAGGGACUGGAAUUGCUGACUUACUUCCACAGCCAAUCUCAAAUAGACGAUGCAGGUUUGCCCAAAGGCCGAUUCUCCGCUAAGAUGCUUAACUCGUCAUUCUCCACUCUGAACAUCCAGCCCUCAGAACCCGGGGACUCGGCCGUGUAUCUCUGUGCCAGCAGCUCAGCCACAGCGCUGCGGCAUCACCCCCUCCCUGUGCAGAAACCUGAUGCUUCCCCUUCUCCCUCCAGCUCCCAGCUGUCCUGA
Molecule: non-coding RNA, 533 nt
Organism: Lemur catta (Ring-tailed lemur)
Lineage: Eukaryota; Metazoa; Chordata; Mammalia; Primates; Lemuridae
Source: the annotation of a RefSeq genome assembly